This 71-nucleotide transfer RNA is filed under the name Brookesia superciliaris. RNAcentral's name for it is "tRNA-Gln". Lineage: Eukaryota; Metazoa; Chordata; Lepidosauria; Squamata; Chamaeleonidae. The record is from RNAcentral.
AUAGAGGAGAAGGAGUUGAACCAACAUCAAAAAACUCAAAAUUUUAUGCAUUUCUUUUAUGCUACCCACUA